GACGAACGCUGGCGGCGUGCUUAACACAUGCAAGUCGAACGGAAAGGCCCUGCUUUUGUGGGGUGCUCGAGUGGCGAACGGGUGCGUAACACGUGAGUAACCUGCCCUUGACUUUGGGAUAACUUCAGGAAACUGGGGCUAAUACCGGAUAGGAGCUCCUGCUGCAGGGUGGGGGUUGGAACGUUGCGGCGGUUGGGGAUGGACUCGCGGCUUAUCAGCUUGUUGGUGGGGGAGUGGCUUACCAAGGCUGUGACGGGUAGCCGGCCUGAGAGGGUGAACGGCCACAUUGGGACUGAGAGACGGCGCAGACGCCUACGGGAGGCAGCAGUGGGGAAUAUUGCACAAUGGGCGGAAGCCUGAUGCAGCAACGCCGCGUGCGUGAUGACGGCCUUCUGGUUGUAAACCGCUUUCGCCUGUGACGAAGCGUGAGUGACGGUAAUGGGUAAAGAAGCACCGGCUAACUACGUG
Molecule: ribosomal RNA, 468 nt
Filed under: uncultured bacterium
Lineage: Bacteria
Description: partial 16S ribosomal RNA
Rfam family: Bacterial small subunit ribosomal RNA
Source: RNAcentral